This 719-nucleotide small RNA is filed under the name Arabidopsis thaliana (thale cress). Its description in RNAcentral is "ATSL214150". Lineage: Eukaryota; Viridiplantae; Streptophyta; Magnoliopsida; Brassicales; Brassicaceae. The record is from RNAcentral.
AAAGGACAAAACGAUAUUUCAUAUUUUUAAGGGUUAUUGGUCUAUCAUCUCUAAUCUUAUGGUUGGUUUGUAUUCGUUGUUGAAACAAAUAUUAAAGCUACCCAUGCAGAGUCUUAAUUUAAUAUAUCUUUCUUUCCUCAUAUGUAUAUAUGUUUACUAAGGGGGUGUUAUUCGUUUAUGAUUUUAAAAAAGUUUUAGUGAUUUAAACUGUUAUGUAAAAUCUAUUGUUAUUCAAUCAAGAUUUUUUAAAAGUAUGUUAAAUUUUUGUGUUAUUCAUUUAAGAUUUGUAAAAAGUAAUCUAAAAUCUUCAUAAAUUUUGGUUAUUAGAUUCAUACUCUUAUAAAGUCAUUAAAAGUUUUGUGUUAUUCAAUUAAAACAAAAGAAUCUUUGAUUGUUAAUGAUUGUUAAUGAUUUAAAUUAUUAUGUUAUUGGUUCAUGACUUUCUACAUUUUUCUUCACAAAAUAAAGUCAUGGAAAGUCAUGAAAAGUAUUAUCAAAAUAAAGAGAUUGUUAGAGAAACUUUACAAGAUUAUGAAAAACUAAUCAACAAGAUUAUAAAAUACUCUCUAACAAUCGUUUAAAAUCUUUCAUUUCUUUACUUUCUAGGAUUUGAUUGAAAUCAUCAAAAUUCCUUAUAAUUUGGAACCAAUAACACCCCCUAAGUUGGAAGAAAUAUAUAUUUUAAAUUUUAUAACAAUGGGCUUUGUGACGAUUUUAAG